CAGGAUCAAGUUGACCUUCUAAACAGU
Molecule: non-coding RNA, 27 nt
Filed under: Mus musculus (house mouse)
Lineage: Eukaryota; Metazoa; Chordata; Mammalia; Rodentia; Muridae
Source: RNAcentral